RNAcentral lists this ribosomal RNA (465 nucleotides) under uncultured bacterium. RNAcentral's name for it is "partial 16S ribosomal RNA". It matches the Rfam family "Bacterial small subunit ribosomal RNA", at positions 28 to 507 of the family's 1533-position model. The record is from RNAcentral.
GACGAACGCUGGCGGCGUGCUUAACACAUGCAAGUCGAGCGAGGCCCCUCCUUCGGGAGGGUGUCCUAGCGGCGAACGGGUGAGUAACACGUGGGCAACCUGCCCUCAGCUCUGGGAUAACUCCGGGAAACCGGGGCUAAUACCGGAUACGACCUCCACGGGCAUCUGCGGAGGUGGAAAGUUUUUCGGCUGAGGAUGGGCCCGCGGCCUAUCAGCUAGUUGGUGGGGUAGUGGCCCACCAAGGCGACGACGGGUAGCCGGCCUGAGAGGGCGACCGGCCACACUGGGACUGAGACACGGCCCAGACUCCUACGGGAGGCAGCAGUGGGGAAUAUUGCGCAAUGGGCGAAAGCCUGACGCAGCGACGCCGCGUGAGGGACGAAGGCCUUCGGGUUGUAAACCUCUUUCAGUAGGGACGAAGCGAAAGUGACGGUACCUGCAGAAGAAGCACCGGCCAACUACGUG